CGAUGCUGCGAUGGUGGACGUGUUGCGAGCCGGGUCAGCGAGCUAGUGCUAGAGAGAAGAACGACAUCUCGUUGCAUGAUGUUGAGGAGGAUUUCGGUGUUGACUAAUCGGACGAUGAUAAUACUUAGAUUAUAACUAAUCAUACGGUGAGCAAGACGGCUGCUGUUUUCCCCCGCUACAUCUGAAUGACGCCUAGCAUGCACCAAAAAAUAUUGUUUCCCUGAUGCAGCGAGCCUAGAUACAUACUUUUUUUAGAGUACGCAAUCGCGUACCUUAGCUUUAUAGAAUAUUAAGCAUACCUUAGCUUUAUAGAAUAUUAGACGAUGCCCCGCACGUUGCUACGGAAAAUUUGUUAAAAAAUAUAUGAAUAAAUGUUAAAAAACUAAUGUUAAUGUAAAAACCAUUAUAAAAAUGUCUUGCUUAAUUACCUAUAAAAAAUUCAUGAGAUUAAUGAAAAAGUAAUUUAUGUCUACAUGCAUGACUUGAUGAUGUGGCAUUGUUGCAUAGAGAGAAAAUUUGAGUAGUAGGUUCUAGCUAUUUAAGAAUAGAAGAUACAAGAAGUUUGUUAGAGCAUCUCUAGUUGAACGUGUAAAUUUGGACGUGCAUAUCUUCAUAUACACGUCCAUAUACACCUUGCUAAAUUUUAC
Molecule: long non-coding RNA, 647 nt
Filed under: Hordeum vulgare
Lineage: Eukaryota; Viridiplantae; Streptophyta; Magnoliopsida; Poales; Poaceae
Description: long non-coding RNA (HVUL_LNC010576)
Source: RNAcentral